Molecule: ribosomal RNA, 482 nt
Filed under: uncultured bacterium
Lineage: Bacteria
Description: partial 16S ribosomal RNA
Rfam family: Bacterial small subunit ribosomal RNA
Source: RNAcentral
AUUGAACGCUGGCGGCAUGCUUUACACAUGCAAGUCGAACGGUAACAGCACUUCGGUGGCUGACGAGUGGCGAACGGGUGAGUAAUACAUCGGAACGUGCCUAGUAGUGGGGGAUAACUACUCGAAAGAGUAGCUAAUACCGCAUGAGAUCUAAGGAUGAAAGCAGGGGACCUUCGGGCCUUGCGCUACUAGAGCGGCUGAUGGCAGAUUAGGUAGUUGGUGGGAUAAAAGCUUACCAAGCCGACGAUCUGUAGCUGGUCUGAGAGGACGACCAGCCACACUGGGACUGAGACACGGCCCAGACUCCUACGGGAGGCAGCAGUGGGGAAUUUUGGACAAAGGGCGCAAGCCUGAUCCAGCAAUGCCGCGUGCAGGACGAAGGCCUUCGGGUUGUAAACUGCUUUUGUACGGAACGAAAAGCCCUCUUCUAAUACAGGAGGGUCAUGACGGUACCGUAAGAAUAAGCACCGGCUAACUACGUG